This 74-nucleotide transfer RNA is filed under the name beta proteobacterium KB13. Its description in RNAcentral is "tRNA-Cys". It matches the Rfam family "tRNA". Rfam says of the family: Transfer RNA (tRNA) molecules are approximately 80 nucleotides in length. RNAcentral also lists the same sequence under 14 other names. The record is from RNAcentral. Lineage: Bacteria; Pseudomonadati; Pseudomonadota; Betaproteobacteria; Nitrosomonadales.
GGCGCGUUAGCAAAGUGGUUAUGCAGAGGCCUGCAAAGCCUUAGACGCCGGUUCGAUUCCGGCACGCGCCUCCA